UCUGCAAGGGACAAGAAGAAAUAGUUUAAAACCUGACAUUUAUGCUCAGAACAAUAGUAGAGGCAUAUGCAACAACAAUGGAGGGGAGGGAGAAAAUAAGAGCCUAUUAAGACAGCUUGGAUUUGUUUCAUCCAAGACAGGUACAGGGAGAAUUUUGCAGUUUCUGGACUCAUGAUUCAUUCACUUCCACUAAUUGUGCUGAAGGUAGUUAGCCAAAGUGAACAGGCACACUGUAGCUUUAAAAAGGCAGCCAUGAACCAGAAGGCAGUUGGUGCAGCUUGUGUGUGAUUCCUAACGUCAUGUUGGCUGAGAGCCAGCCUGGUUUUAUUUCACUGUGUCAAAUUGUACCUCCUUAUUGAAUUCCUUUGCCAGCCUACUUUAUGAAAGAAAACAUUGGGGUUUCUUUGGCUGUUCUUGAUAAGCCUAUAAAAAUUGAUAUGUUUUAGUUGCUUAUAGUUGCUGAAGUAAAGGAACCCUGCAGCCUUCCCAUGCUAUCUGUUGACAUGGAAAACAAGGAAAAUGGCUCUGUCGGUGUAAAAAAACACGACUCGGACAUGAAAUGUGCGUAGAAAGGGUAGCAUGUCUCUGGCCGUGAACCCAGGAGGACUGAGGAUUGCAGUUCUGCACUGUCUAUCCUGUAACAAAAACCCCAAACUGACACAUUUCUGCCUCCCACGUCCAUAGGCUACUAAGUUCCAUGGAAAAUGGGAGACCACCUGAUCCUGCAGACUGGGCCGUGAUGGAUGUGGUCAAUUAUUUCCGAACAGCAGGAUUUGAGGAACAAGCUCAUGCCUUUCAGGAGCAGAGAUACGAAGGAUCCAGUAGAAGGCCUGGAGCUCACGGUAGUGUCCCAUGCAAGUCCACAUCAGGAGGCCAAAGGGUCUGCAAUGGAAGGCUGAAAAGUGUACUGGAGGCUGAAGAGUCUGCACUGGAAGCCAGCAGAGGACAUUCAAGGUGAAGGCAAAGGCUGGAGCCCCUCCAAAGAAAUAGAAGCGAGAUUUCCUCCUUUGUUUCCCUUUUAUUCCUUUCAGAUGACAAGCCACCCUAGGGUGGGUCUUCUGUCUUCAGUAGAUUCCCACAGCCACACUCAGAACCAUGCUGAUCCAAUUUAGUUGGAUGUUUCUUACUCAAGUUGACACUAUCAGUUAACCAUCACAGGCUAACAGUUGGAAAGCAGCCAAAGAAGGAAUUCAGAAGAGGAGCUCAGAUGCUUACUUGGUGCAGUGGCCUUUGCAGCAUUAUUCACAAUAAUCAAAGGUGGAGACAACUUAAGGGUCCAUGAACAAAUAAAUAGCUCCUUUAUCACUCACUUGGUGCCAAUGGUGAAUAUUAAGUAGCACAGGGAAGCACUCCUGAACUCACUGAAGGCAUGGGCCUUCACAUAACCCAGAAUGCAUGGCGUUUCUGAAUCAAGUGCAAGACUCGUCUAGCUUGUGAUGAGGUAAAAACUUUUAAACCAUACAUAUAGUUUCUCUCUGUUAGUAAGCCAAUCAGCAUUUAUUUAUUUGUUUACUUGUGUAUCUUUUUUAAAAGCCUCCCUAAGAUGUCUAUUAUUCACCCCAAGUUUUCCACCAAUAGGAAAGCAAGGGAGGCAGACCUUCAGCUGAGUGUCACUGGCUUGGAACGCUGAGCUCAUAGUCACUCCUCCCAGGGGACCGUGCAGUGUGAAGGUGUGGGUGGGCAUGUGAAGGAUCUCUACGGGAAAAGGAAUUUCUCCCCUCCCCACCCCCCGAAGAAAUUGCAUCUCAAAAACCAUGUGGCAAGAAUCAACUGUGUGAACUUGAACAGUUCACCGUCUUCCUUUCCAAUGUCAUACGGAGAUCCUUCAGAAAAUAAACUGUGUAUCUUGGUGAGGAAAGGCUGUUUGAAGAACCAUGGUGAAUUACUACAGAAUACUGGGGGUAUCUCAAGAUGCUUCCUCCUCUGCCAUCAGAAAGGCUUAUCACCAGUUGGCUCUACAGGUACACCCUGACAAGAACCCCAAGAAUAAGGAGGCAGCUGAGGAGAAAUUCAAACAAGUAGCAGAGGCCUACAAGGUCUUGUGUAAUGCCAAGAAGUGCAAUGACUGUGACAGGGCCAGAAGGAACUGCACCCAAAGGGAAAACAGAGCAAAUGGCAGGGAUAAAAGUCAUCUGGAGGAGGAACUGUACUUUAAGAGGCCACACCAUGUCUUUAAGAAUGUCUCUGAGGAGGAUGAACCUUUCUCAGGAGAUUAUUUUUCUACUGGCCACAUGGAUAGGCCCAGGAGAUCCCAAUCCUCCUCCUUUGAUGUGAACCCCAUAUUGGACUCAGGAUUUUCCACUUUUGUAACCCUUGGCUGCAAAUCAAGUCCCUCUAUUUCAGAGACAUGUGUACCCUUUGUAAGCAGUGGAAUGGGAAGUUUCAGACUGGUCACCACUUGUAGCCAGAUAGUGAAUGGCAAGAGGGUUGUUACAAAGAAAGUUCUAGAAAAUGUGAUGGGGGGCAGACUGAAAUGGAGAAAGAAAAACUAUUUCAUCAGAUCCCUUCAUGUCUUUGGUAAGAAGUUGGUGGCACAUUCUUUACCAGGGACUUUCAUAUGAAACCGGUGUGUCUUGAUGUUUAUCAAAGGUAAUUGGAGUCUGAGAGUGUGUUGAACUGGAAUGGGCCGAAUUCCGCUUAGUUAAGAUCUCUCAUUUCACUGAGGAGGGGAAUUAUGGGCCAAAUAUUAACACAAGAAACUAGUACACAGGAGAGUUCCACAACUGAGUCUUCUGAUUCUAAGUUGAGCUCUCUGUCCCUUUCCCCUACACACUAUUUGGUACAGUAGAAAUCACCAACACAGACAUGGCCUUCAGAGUCAGUUGCAGGGCUCUCCCUCAAAAUCCCAUUGACUUCCUUCUAGCUCUUCCCUGGCCUAUGUUGUUGUUUCCCAGUUGCCUCUUUCAUGGCUGCUCUUUUUCUCUCUCAGCCCCUUUCUCUUUGAUUUUUGACUUCCCACUCCACCUGUCUUCAAAUGCAUUUUACACGGACCCUAUGAAAAUCAGGCUCAAUUCGUUGUCAUCAUGAAUUAGAUAUAUGUAACAGAGAAAGAGAAAUAAUGAGUUAAGUUUUAUUAUUUUUGUUUUUUGCAGUACUGGAGCUAGGGGGCCUCUACCACUGAGCUACAUCCUCAUCCUCAUCCUUUUUCUACAUUUUUUGAGACAGGGUCUCCUUAAGUUGCCCAGAUGGGACACAAACUUGGAACUCUUCUGUUUCAGUUUCCCUAAAUUCUGGGAUUACAGGCAUGUGUCGCUCUGCCCAGCAGGAAUAAGAUAUAUAUAUAGCUCGUGUGCCAGUCAGGCUUGAUAGUGAACUGCCCUGCAUUAAGAGAUUCCUAGAGAAGCAAUUGGAUUGUGAGGCCACUAACCUCAUCAAGGAGUUAACAAUGAGUUCAUAGCUGAAUGGACCAUUAGAAAGUGGGACCUAGUUGGAGGGAGUGGGUCCUGGGGCCAUGACCUGGGGGGCUAUACCUGGUCUGUGGUCCCUUGGCCCCUUCUUCUCUGGCUCUGUCAAUCUGCUCUGCUUUGCGACCACCAUGAGUCAGGCACUUUUCCUCCAUCGUUCCUUUCUGCCAUGAUGUUUCUGCUCUGGAGCCAGCUGACAGUGGACUGAAAGCACUGUGAGCCAAACCAAAAUAAACCCUCCUUUAAGUUGUGUGUGUCCAGUACUUGGUCCCAGCAACAAAAAUCUGACUAAUACAGCUAGCAUUUACUGAGUGCUCGGUAGAUGUCUGGAAUUCUCCUUCACAUGUGUUAUCUCAAAAACCCUUUAGGCAAUGAAAUUCAGUUGCUGCUUUUUCCCAUCAUCUAGAUAAGGAAAUGAGGCUUAAAGAGAUUAAGGAACUUGCUCCAGGCCCCACCUAAUAAGCAGUAAAAUGGUGUGCUACCCUACUGCACAUUCUUAUCUACUGAACUAUGACAUUUAAGGAUCCUACUCAUUUAUUUUUAAAUCUAGGGUCUCGCCCUCAUUGAAAAUAUAGAUCUAUCUUCUCUAAACCUUUCUUCAAUGCCUGAGUACUUGCUGGAACUUAUUAAGUAGGCAAACAUUUUGGAUUUUACGGCCUGACAGGAACUUGAAGGUGACUUUCACAUGAAGACAGAAUCACUGUGCCGAGUUUCACUAAAGCUAACAAAUGAUUGUUCAUUUCCCAAGUUGUGAAAUUAUAUUUUUGUUUUGACUUUAAUCAUGAUUUACAUAGAAUGCAAAAUCUUGGGAUGUUUGUAUAGCUGAAACUGGUCACACACCAACCCCUUUAAGCUAUAUUAAUGAGCAGAGUGGGAUCUGUUCCUUGUGGAAAGUUACUGAUAGAGUCUGCAGUAGAAUCACUGUCUUCCAGUUUCCAGUCCAGGCUCAUUCCAGCACACCAUGGCAUGGCAAAAUUUGGAUUUCAUUCACAAUUGUAAUCUUUUAUUACAGUUUAUUAUGUGACAAAUUAGCAGUUUUGUUGGGAGGGGGAUUGAAGAAUUGAACCCAGGGACACUCCACCAGCCUCCACUCCUUUUUCUCAAUUUUUAUUUUGAGAGAGGGUCUCACUAAAUUGCCCAGGCUGGCCCCAAACUUGAAAUCCACCUGCUUCAGCCUCUCAAAUAGCUGGUAUUACAAACAUGUGUCGCCUCACCCCACUUAGCUUUUUUAAUCAGGAACUUUUCUAUAUGUGUGAUUUUCAGGACAAAGGUUUUAUGUACUACUGAACACUUUAUUCCUCGUAAAAUUUUGGCACUUGAACAGGAACAUGCCUACAUCCUUCUGCAAAGGGCCAACAGAAAGCAAGAAGAUGGAUUUGGAUUCAGAAAACAUCUCAUUUCUUUCAAAGCCCUUAACUUUCCACUUAGUAGUCACUGAGAGCCUCCUUUAUGUCAAGCACUAUGCUAGGUGCUUUAUAUCACUAUGCUAGGUGCUUUAUAUCAAGUCAUUCCCAGGCUUAUUUCCAUUUUACAAGUGAAGAGCUGAAGUUCAGGGAAGUUAAGUCCUUUACGCAAGGUCACACAGUAAGUUGUAGAGACGGGGCUCAGACUGCAGUUUGCCUGGCCUGAGCUCACAUUUCUGUUCUGCUCUCUUCCACCCUCAUACCUCUGAGCUGCCAUGUUACUUCAACAACAUGGCAUAUAUUCUUUUUAUAAUGAUGACAUCCAGAUGAAGCUUUCUUCUACCAGCUUUGGUGUGAGGUGGACUGCAGUGUCUGCACUGAACAAAGGGAAAAUCAAAUUGGAGUAGAAAAUAUGAUUUGUCAUUUUGUCUUAUGUAAAACCCAAAUUUCAGCACUUUCUACAAACAAAGUUGGCUUGUAUCAGAAAUCCUGAGUUGUGCAAGGACUUUUUGCCAGCAGACUUUUGCUUUAAAUUCACUUUGAGUUAGUAAAGGAAGUUUUCUUGUCGUGCAGAAAUGGAAGCAGUGUCCUCUCUUCCUGAAGCCUGUUUCAAAUAUGAAGAGGGCUAAGCAUGGGCCAACAACAGCAAAAAAAAGAUGGAGAAAGGAAGGCCUUUGCUGCUCAGUAAACAUUCCCAGUCAGUAUUCUUCCGGGUGCAGUUGCCUGUGACUCAGAUUCCUGGGGCCUCACAAUUUCUUCAGUUCUGCUGUUGUGGCCUCUGGGUGCCAGAAGCUCCGGGGUUCAUUUUGGAAGUUGUGAGGCAAAUCUCAAACAUACAGGUUUCACUAAUGGGUAGCCUUUAGGAUUACUAAUUGUGCGUGUGUGUGUGUGUGUGUGUGUGUGUGUGAGAGAGAGAGAGAGAGAGAGAGAGAGAGCAUUUAAAUAUUAGAGAGUUUGUUCCUGUGUCCUUAAAAUAAUUUUCCACUCUUGCUCUAUUGUGUUUUUAAUCUGCUCUAGUUUUGAACAGUUCUCUCUCACACAUUAAUGUGAGAUAUUUUGUCUUCUAGUCACUGACAAAAUAAAUGCUUCCAAAAGUCAUAGGCCAGUUUGAAGCAAUCCUUUGUUGUGGUGUGGUUCGUGCUAGUAGGUGGUUGACAAGAGAAGUGGGGGCCACAGUCCUGCCUAGCACGGUGGAAGGAACAGUGACACACAAUUUUAUCACUCAUAGCUCAGGGAACUUGUACAAGAGCAAUUUCUCACAGAAUCCUUUCAGAAACCCGAUGUUCCCACAUUACCAAGGAAGGAGACAGAAGAGGAAGGGAGUUGCCUGAAGAAGAAAGCGGUUUCUCUUAAGCCCUAACCUGAUCCUAUUUCUUCCACACUCUCAGGCAUUCAAAGUGUUUUUUCUUACAGCCUGGAAAGGAACAUGAAAGAGCCAGGGAGGAAUGGCUUCCCUAGGAGGGAAUCACAAUUUUAUGUACUUCCAGUUGUACAUCACAUGCCCCGGUCUGUUGCUCCAGGUUGGUGCAGGAGUGUGUGGGUAAAAUCAUGAACAACAGCUGGUCCAUCUCCUAACCUCAAGUUUCCUGAGAGCCAGCUCAGGUUCUUAAGACACGUAAAGUUUCUACCAUAAACAAUAACAAAAAUAAGGUAGCAGUCAGCAUUCUCAGUACUUCCUUUCCAAAAAUUUUAAAACGCUUUGUAUAUUUUCAGCCUUGUGCUUUUGUGAGAGGCCCAUUUUUAUUUUACCUCAAAGCUUUGUAAUCUCCACAGUACCUGGAGUGAAGCACACCUGAUCCUGUACCUGGUGGGGAAUGGACUGUGAGCAGAACAGGGAAGGGAUUUGCAGCUUCCAGGGACAUACCCUUUUCUGUACAGUGUGCGGUCUUGAGGAUCCCUUGAGAGUGAUGUGAUCAGGGUCCUCAAUGUGGAGACGUUGAUUUUCUGGUUGAAGUAGAAUGAUUCUAUUUUCAAAAGAGUGAAAGGAAUCUCCCAGAGGGUAAGUCAUUUUAUAGAUGCUUGUUGUGAUUGACAAGGUGCUUGGAAACCUAAGACUCUAAAUCCAUUGGACUGUCCAGGCAACACAUAUUUAUUUCUCAGUAUCCAGAGGGGCCAAAGGGGAUUUUUUAAAAAUUGGGUUUGAAAAAAGAAAAAAUCAAGUUUGACUGUAGGCAGAUGAGAGUUCAAAUACUUUGCCACCCUUCCCUGACUCUCUGAUUUUAAGUUAGGCUGGUUAACUUCUUGCUUGAUCCCUGUUGCCUUGCCUAUAAAUAAGUAAAAAUGAUUUCUCCCCAUCCUAAUUUAUAGUUUUUUUAGAAAUUAGGCACAAAGAAAAUCCUACAUAAACUUUGAUAUAUUUAAUAAAUGGAAACUGUUCUUGU
This is a non-coding RNA of Heterocephalus glaber (naked mole-rat), 7188 nucleotides long. The record is from RefSeq and is a predicted model, not a curated record. NCBI's taxonomy places the organism in Eukaryota, Metazoa, Chordata, Mammalia, Rodentia, Bathyergidae.